This 459-nucleotide ribosomal RNA is filed under the name uncultured bacterium. RNAcentral's name for it is "partial 16S ribosomal RNA". It matches the Rfam family "Bacterial small subunit ribosomal RNA", at positions 338 to 795 of the family's 1533-position model. The record is from RNAcentral.
CCUACGGGAGGCAGCAGUGAGGAAUAUUGGUCAAUGGUCGGGAGACUGAACCAGCCAAGCCGCGUGAGGGAUGAAGGUACAGAGUAUCGUAAACCUCUUUUGUCAGGGAACAAAGGCGGGGACGUGUCCCCGGAUGAGUGUACCUGAAGAAAAAGCAUCGGCUAACUCCGUGCCAGCAGCCGCGGUAAUACGGAGGAUGCGAGCGUUAUCGGGAUUUAUUGGGUGUAAAGGGUGCGCUGGCGGUCUGUUAAGUCAGCGGUAAAAGCCCGUGGCUCAACCCCGGCCCGCCGUUGAAACUGGCAGUCUCGAGUUGGAGAGAAGUAUGCGGAAUGCGCGGUGUAGCGGUGAAAUGCAUAGAUAUCGCGCAGAACUCCGAUUGCGAAGGCAGCAUGCCGGCUCCACACUGACGCUGAGGCACGAAAGCGUGGGUAUCGAACAGGAUUAGAUACCCUUGUAGUC